Molecule: ribosomal RNA, 460 nt
Filed under: uncultured bacterium
Lineage: Bacteria
Description: partial 16S ribosomal RNA
Rfam family: Bacterial small subunit ribosomal RNA
Source: RNAcentral
CCUACGGGUGGCAGCAGUGAGGAAUAUUGGUCAAUGGACGCGAGUCUGAACCAGCCAAGUAGCGUGAAGGAUGACUGCCCUAUGGGUUGUAAACUUCUUUUAUAUGGGAAUAAAAUGUUCCACGUGUGGGUUUUUGUCUGUACCAUAUGAAUAAGGAUCGGCUAACUCCGUGCCAGCAGCCGCGGUAAUACGGAGGAUCCGAGCGUUAUCCGGAUUUAUUGGGUUUAAAGGGAGCGUAGGUGGAUUGUUAAGUCAGUUGUGAAAGUUUGCGGCUCAACCGUAAAAUUGCAGUUGAAACUGGCAGGCUUGAGGACAGUUGAGGUGGGCGGAAUUCGUGGUGUAGCGGUGAAAUGCUUAGAUAUCACGAAGAACUCCGAUUGCGAAGGCAGCUCACCGGACUGCAACUGACACUGAGGCUCGAAAGUGUGGGGAUCAAACAGGAUUAGAUACCCUUGUAGUC